RNAcentral lists this ribosomal RNA (264 nucleotides) under uncultured bacterium. RNAcentral's name for it is "partial 16S ribosomal RNA". It matches the Rfam family "Bacterial small subunit ribosomal RNA", at positions 524 to 777 of the family's 1533-position model. The record is from RNAcentral.
UACGUAGGGUGCAAGCGUUGUCCGGAAUUAUUGGGCGUAAAAGAGCUCGUAGGCGGUUCGUCGCGUCGGCUGUGAAAAUCCCCGGAGCUCAACUCCGGGUCUGCAGUCGAUACGGGGCGGACUUUGAGUACUGCAGGGGGAGACUGGAAUUCCUGGUGUAGCGGUGAAAAUGCGCAGAUAUCAGGAGGAACACCGGUGGCGAAGGCGGGUCUCUGGGCAGUAACUGACGCUGAGGAGCGAAAGCGUGGGGGAGUCAAAACAGGA